Non-coding RNA from Pteropus alecto (black flying fox), 116 nucleotides. NCBI's taxonomy places the organism in Eukaryota, Metazoa, Chordata, Mammalia, Chiroptera, Pteropodidae. The record is from Rfam.
GUCUACAGCCAUGCCACCCUGAACAAGCCCAAUGUCUGAUCUCGGAAGCUAAGCAGGGUCGGGCCUGGUUAGUACUUGGAUGGGAGACCACCUAGGAAGACCAGGUGCUGUAGGCA